AUUUUCCUAAAGGUGAACAUGUCCAGCAUGCAUCUACUGGCCAUGUGCAUUUCAACAUUUGAGAAGUAUCUGUUUAUUCAUCUUGCCCAAUUGCUAGUUGAACUAUUUGGCUCUUGUGUUUAGUUUUUGAGGUUUAAAGAAUCAUUCUAGAUUCCUGCCAGAUGUCUAAGGACAAAGAUUUUUCUCCCAUUCAAUAGGCUCUUUCUUCAUAGUUGUUUGCUUACAGAAGAUUUUUAGUUUGACGGCAUCUCAUUUGGCAAUGCUUAAAUUGAUUUCCUAAGUUACUGGAGUCAUUUCCAGAAAGCUGGGCAUUCACAUUGAAUCUGACCUGCCCCACCCACCUUCCUCUGAGUUACUGUGACAGGCUGUGGUAAAGCAUAACCAUCCAUGUAUGCUCAUCGUGGAGUAGAAAAUCAUUGCACUUGGGGAAGCAGCUACAUUUAUAAAAGCAAACUGAAAUACAGUGUCGUUUUAAGGAGUCUAUUUGAUCAAGCAGCAGUUCAUGAGAAGUAUAACCCUGGAUCAGAAGUGGUUCAGGAGUUUCAACAGAGGGAUUCUGGUGAAGGGUGACACAAGAUGAAGAAGAGAAUAAAGCAGAGAAGACGCACAGUUGAUUACACUUUGCAUUUAUAAGAACGGGCCCUGGUUAAGGGCUUUUUAUAUCCAUAAACCCAGCAAGGAUGAGGUUUCUCUCUCUUCUUUGUGACUACGGUUGAGGAUGUGAUCUCUCAGCUUCCUGCUCCAGCCACCAUGUCCGAUGUCCUGCCUCGCAGCUAUGAUGGACUCUUAUCCUUCUGGAACCAUAAG
Molecule: non-coding RNA, 807 nt
Organism: Peromyscus maniculatus bairdii (prairie deer mouse)
Lineage: Eukaryota; Metazoa; Chordata; Mammalia; Rodentia; Cricetidae
Source: RefSeq, a predicted model, not a curated record